Corvus hawaiiensis (hawaiian crow) is the source of this 1219-nucleotide long non-coding RNA. RefSeq lists it as uncharacterized. The transcript is spliced from 2 exons. NCBI's taxonomy places the organism in Eukaryota, Metazoa, Chordata, Aves, Passeriformes, Corvidae. The record is from RefSeq and is a predicted model, not a curated record.
CCCAUCCCCCUUGGGACGGCUGUCACUUGCCCUUGUCCCAGGCUGCCCCCUGCAUCCCGAGGGCUUGGGGGGGACCCGGCCUCCCCGGUGGCAUUGCGGGGCUUGACUUGGGGCCCAGCCACGCUUGUAAAGUUUAUUAUCCACGCAUUUCACCGGCGAAAUUCAUCACCGCGAUCUCCGUCAAGUCUUUGUGCGGGGGGGAAUCCGACAUCAGAGCUUUAAAAAUGUAAGAAAAGCACCAAAGAAUUCCCAGCCCGCUGAACCACAUCCCUGCAGUGCCCGGCCGCUUCCCUGCGGACCCCCCCGUGCCCCCGGAGGGGUGCGGUGGCUGCACCCCCUGCUCCCGACAUCUGCCUCACGGGGAGCAUUAGUGGAGGUGCUUUUUGUUUGUCCAGUGCAAAUGAAUUAAAAUUGCUGAGCUGUUCAAAUGCGCCGAGUCUCCGAGCGCCCAAGAUGAACGCGACGCCGGUUUUGGUUUUAUUUUAAUUCAAUCUCUCCCAACACAUUUUGCUCCACGUUGGUUCUUGCAAAUGCUAAGAAAGCCUGAUCGAAUCCCUUCUUGGCUUUAGCUUGCUGCUGUUCCCGCUUUAAGAAAAACAAGCACUUAAAAGAGAGAAGUUCUGCAGGGUUAAAGCCUGAAACAGCUUCAGACUUGACAUAUGUCUAAAGACAUACAAAUUAACCAGUGCCAAAUAUGUCUGUAGAAAAAGCAGGGAGGGAGCUUGCUUUGUUCUGCCAAAUAAUCAAAAUGUUUUGUUGACAAAUAAAGUGGUGCUUGGCAGCCCUUGUAGAUCUAAAAUUAAAUUUAAGUUAUUGAAUUUUUUUGAAGCCGUAUUCCCAUCCUGCUGUGUAGGACUUUUUUUGUAUACCUCUUUAAUAUCAGUGGGAGGUAGGAGGCGGGGACAGGGUUAGAUGGUACUUUUCUGGUAACAGGAAACUUGCUGGAUUUGAUUUAUUGCUGUGUUUUUAUUUUAUUUUAAAGUAGUUUAGGGAUGAUGGUGAAACGUAGGCACCCAGUUGGGUCUGUUGAGAAGGCAACUUAGUGCUGCUCUGCCUUGGCUGUGGUCAUUUCAACCAUACAAAAUUGGGGAAGAAUAAAGAAACUGAGUGACAGCCCGUGAAACCCUCUUGAAACAUAGGUGUUCUGUGCUUUCAGUGGUUGUACUGGGACAUUGUUCCAUCUCUGUUGUAGGCUGGACAAUAAAAAUAGAAGUGCAAA